Molecule: small nucleolar RNA, 96 nt
Filed under: Loxodonta africana (African savanna elephant)
Lineage: Eukaryota; Metazoa; Chordata; Mammalia; Proboscidea; Elephantidae
Source: RNAcentral
CUGUCCUCUAGGUCGCUAUGGGUCGGACAACAAGUAGUUGAUGAUUAAUUAGCAGUGUAACUAAGAAGUAAGGCUACCAGUCUCCUCCAAACAAAU